This 66-nucleotide transfer RNA is filed under the name Scincella reevesii. RNAcentral's name for it is "tRNA-Tyr". Lineage: Eukaryota; Metazoa; Chordata; Lepidosauria; Squamata; Scincidae. The record is from RNAcentral.
GGUAAGGUGGCCGAGAAGGUGGCAGGUUGUAGCCCUGUGUAGGCGGGUCAAGCCCCGUCCUUAUCA